CCUACGGGUGGCAGCAGUGAGGAAUAUUGGUCAAUGGACGCUAGCCUGAACCAGCCAUGCAGCGUGAAGGAUGACGGCCCUAUGGGUUGUAAACUGCUUUUAUAUGAGGGUAAAUUGCGGUACGUGUACUGCUUUGCAUGUACCGUAUGAAUAAGGAUCGGCUAACUCCGUGCCAGCAGCCGCGGUAAUACGGAGGAUUCAAGCGUUAUCCGGAUUUAUUGGGUUUAAAGGGUGCGUAGGCGGUUUGUUAAGUCAGUGGUGAAAGUUCGGGGCUCAACCCCAACAUUGCCGCUGAUACUGGCAGGCUAGAGUAUAGUUGCGGUAGGCGGAAUGUGUGGUGUAGCGGUGAAAUGCAUAGAGAUCACGCAGAACACCGAUUGCGAAGGCAGCUUACUAAACUGCGACUGACGUUGAGGCACGAAAGUGUGGGGAGCAAACAGGAUUAGAUACCCGUGUAGUC
RNAcentral lists this ribosomal RNA (460 nucleotides) under uncultured bacterium. Its description in RNAcentral is "partial 16S ribosomal RNA". It matches the Rfam family "Bacterial small subunit ribosomal RNA", at positions 338 to 795 of the family's 1533-position model. The record is from RNAcentral.